Molecule: ribosomal RNA, 496 nt
Filed under: uncultured bacterium
Lineage: Bacteria
Description: partial 16S ribosomal RNA
Rfam family: Bacterial small subunit ribosomal RNA
Source: RNAcentral
GAUGAACGCUGGCGGCGUGCCUAAUACAUGCAAGUCGAGCGAACAGACGAGGAGCUUGCUCCUCUGACGUUAGCGGCGGACGGGUGAGUAACACGUGGAUAACCUACCUAUAAGACUGGGAUAACUUCGGGAAACCGGAGCUAAUACCGGAUAAUAUAUUGAACCGCAUGGUUCAUAGUGAAAGACGGUUUUGCUGUCACUUAUAGAUGGAUCCGCGCCGCAUUAGCUAGUUGGUAAGGUAACGGCUUACCAAGGCGACGAUGCGUAGCCGACCUGAGAGGGUGAUCGGCCACACUGGAACUGAGACACGGUCCAGACUCCUACGGGAGGCAGCAGUAGGGAAUCUUCCGCAAUGGGCGAAAGCCUGACGGAGCAACGCCGCGUGAGUGAUGAAGGUCUUCGGAUCGUAAAACUCUGUUAUUAGGGAAGAACAAAUGUGUAAGUAACUAUGCACGUCUUGACGGUACCUAAUCAGAAAGCCACGGCUAACUACGUG